RNAcentral lists this transfer RNA (61 nucleotides) under Trialeurodes vaporariorum (greenhouse whitefly). Its description in RNAcentral is "tRNA-Ala". Lineage: Eukaryota; Metazoa; Arthropoda; Insecta; Hemiptera; Aleyrodidae. The record is from RNAcentral.
GGGGUAAUAGUUUAAUUAAAAAUUUUUAAUUUGCAGUUAAUAGAUGUAAGGGCUUACCUUU